RNAcentral lists this transfer RNA (61 nucleotides) under Halomonas sp. HL-93. RNAcentral describes it as "tRNA-Val". It matches the Rfam family "tRNA", at positions 7 to 64 of the family's 71-position model. From Rfam's summary of the family: Transfer RNA (tRNA) molecules are approximately 80 nucleotides in length. Their secondary structure includes four short double-helical elements and three loops (D, anti-codon, and T loops). Lineage: Bacteria; Pseudomonadati; Pseudomonadota; Gammaproteobacteria; Oceanospirillales; Halomonadaceae. The record is from RNAcentral.
AUAGCUCAGUUGGUUAGAGCGCCACGUUGACAUCGUGGAGGUCGGCGGUUCAAAUCCGCCU